CAAAGAAUAGUUUAGGUGGAAUGCUAGCUUUGGGGGUUAGUGGUGGGAGUUUGAGUCUCCCUUCUUUGA
Molecule: transfer RNA, 69 nt
Filed under: Citharoides macrolepis (twospot largescale flounder)
Lineage: Eukaryota; Metazoa; Chordata; Actinopteri; Pleuronectiformes; Citharidae
Description: tRNA-Pro
Rfam family: tRNA
About the family: Transfer RNA (tRNA) molecules are approximately 80 nucleotides in length. Their secondary structure includes four short double-helical elements and three loops (D, anti-codon, and T loops).
Source: RNAcentral